RNAcentral lists this ribosomal RNA (394 nucleotides) under uncultured bacterium. Its description in RNAcentral is "bacterial SSU rRNA". It matches the Rfam family "Bacterial small subunit ribosomal RNA", at positions 505 to 898 of the family's 1533-position model. The record is from RNAcentral.
GUGUCAGCCGCCGCGGUAAUACAGAGGGUGCGAGCGUUAAUCGGAAUUACUGGGCGUAAAGCGCACGUAGGCGGCUUGGCAUGUCGGGUGUGAAAUCCCCGGGCUCAACCUGGGAACUGCAUCCGAAACUGCCUUGCUAGAGUAUGGGAGAGGGAAGCGGAAUUUCCGGUGUAGCAGUGAAAUGCGUAGAUAUCGGAAGGAACAUCAGUGGCGAAGGCGGCUUCCUGGACCAAUACUGACGCUCAGGUGCGAAAGCGUGGGGAGCAAACAGGAUUAGAUACCCUGGUAGUCCACGCCCUAAACGAUGAGAACUAGAUGUCGGGAGGGAUUGCCUUCCGGUGUCGCAGCUAACGCGUUAAGUUCUCCGCCUGGGAAGUACGGCCGCAAGGUUGAA